RNAcentral lists this microRNA (20 nucleotides) under Lotus japonicus. RNAcentral's name for it is "lja-miR11131-3p". Lineage: Eukaryota; Viridiplantae; Streptophyta; Magnoliopsida; Fabales; Fabaceae. The record is from miRBase by way of RNAcentral.
CUUAGAUUGAACAAAUGAUC